Molecule: ribosomal RNA, 1415 nt
Filed under: metagenome
Description: bacterial SSU rRNA
Rfam family: Bacterial small subunit ribosomal RNA
Source: RNAcentral
AGAGUUUGAUCCUGGCUCAGGACGAACGCUGGCGGCGCGCCUAACACAUGCAAGUCGAACGAGCGAGAGAGAGCUUGCUUUCUCGAGCGAGUGGCGAACGGGUGAGUAACGCGUGAGGAACCUGCCUCAAAGAGGGGGACAACAGUUGGAAACGACUGCUAAUACCGCAUAAGCCCACGGUGCCGCAUGGCACAGAGGGAAAAGGAGCAAUCCGCUUUGAGAUGGCCUCGCGUCCGAUUAGCUAGUUGGUGGGGUAACGGCCCACCAAGGCGACGAUCGGUAGCCGGACUGAGAGGUUGAACGGCCACAUUGGGACUGAGACACGGCCCAGACUCCUACGGGAGGCAGCAGUGGGGAAUAUUGCACAAUGGGGGGAACCCUGAUGCAGCGACGCCGCGUGGAGGAAGAAGGUCUUCGGAUUGUAAACUCCUGUUGUUGGGGAAGAUAAUGACGGUACCCAACAAGGAAGUGACGGCUAACUACGUGCCAGCAGCCGCGGUAAAACGUAGGUCACAAGCGUUGUCCGGAAUUACUGGGUGUAAAGGGAGCGCAGGCGGGAAGACAAGUUGGAAGUGAAAUCUAUGGGCUCAACCCAUAAACUGCUUUCAAAACUGUUUUUCUUGAGUAGUGCAGAGGUAGGCGGAAUUCCCGGUGUAGCGGUGGAAUGCGUAGAUAUCGGGAGGAACACCAGUGGCGAAGGCGGCCUACUGGGCACCAACUGACGCUGAGGCUCGAAAGUGUGGGUAGCAAACAGGAUUAGAUACCCUGGUAGUCCACACCGUAAACGAUGAUUACUAGGUGUUGGAGGAUUGACCCCUUCAGUGCCGCAGUUAACACAAUAAGUAAUCCACCUGGGGAGUACGACCGCAAGGUUGAAACUCAAAGGAAUUGACGGGGGCCCGCACAAGCAGUGGAGUAUGUGGUUUAAUUCGACGCAACGCGAAGAACCUUACCAAGUCUUGACAUCCCUUGACAGGCAUAGAAAUAUGUUUUCUCUUCGGAGCAAGGAGACAGGUGGUGCAUGGUUGUCGUCAGCUCGUGUCGUGAGAUGUUGGGUUAAGUCCCGCAACGAGCGCAACCCUUAUGGUCAGUUACUACGCAAGAGGACUCUGGCCAGACUGCCGUUGACAAAACGGAGGAAGGUGGGGAUGACGUCAAAUCAUCAUGCCCUUUAUGACUUGGGCUACACACGUACUACAAUGGCGUUAAACAAAGAGAAGCGAGACCGCGAGGUGGAACAAAACUCAGAAACAACGUCCCAGUUCGGACUGCAGGCUGCAACUCGCCUGCACGAAGUCGGAAUUGCUAGUAAUCGUGGAUCAGCAUGCCACGGUGAAUACGUUCCCGGGCCUUGUACACACCGCCCGUCACACCAUGAGAGCCGGGGGGACCCGAAGUCGGUAGUCUAACCGCAA